AGCACAAUGAUGAAGUGCAUAGCGGUAAGAAUUUUAAUCUCUAAGUUACUAGUCCGUGGCAUAUAAUGCUGCACUACAAAUGAUUAAAUGCCAAAAGUUUUACCUGUUCUGUUCCAAAACCAGUCACUUUGUGUUUGGAAUUAUUUGGUUAAUUUUCCUCAAUUCUUUUUCUUUUCUCUUUUGUUCCUCAAAUCAGAAACUAGUCUUGUACUUCCUGCUAGUUCAGUGAUUGAAAAGAAGUGACGCCCCUUACCCGUUUACAGUGUAGCCGAGUAAAGUGUGCCACAUUCGGUGUCGGAGCACCCUAUCUUUUCUUGUCCUGUCCAUUGUUAAUUUUAUACUUUAUAGAAAACAUGUGGUAAAAUUUUUUUUUUUUCAUCAAAUUAUUUCUGUGGAAACCCGGACAGAUUUUCCUCUAUUUUAUUAGCAUUUAGCGGGUUUCAAUAUUUACCUGUUAAAAACAAUUUCAUGUGUAUCUCAUAUUUCCAUAUACAUCAUGUUAUAUCAUAUCAUUUUUCCUUAUACAAUUUCAAGAAAAUAUAUUUUUCAUUCAUUCAUUCAUUCAUAUGGAAGUAUAUAUACAAAAAAUCACAACUUUAUUUACAAUCUAAAAUAUAAUUACAAUUCUCAAAAAAGAUUUACAUCAUUUACUUAUGUGCAAUAAACAAAAAUGCAAAACUAAAUAUACAUGAGCCUUACCAAAAAUAUUCUGCUCAGGUGACUAGUAGACACUGUCAGAUCUGAUCAAAUCUCUGUCAGGGCACUACUGCUGCGGCUGCGGUUGUGGCUGUGGCUGUGGCUGUGACUGUGCCUGGUCUCCAGUAUCUAUUUGAUGGAAAACCAACGUGCCAAGCGAAUUGCUCAGUGGUGCAUAACUUUAAAGAAAAAUAACUGAGUAAUUACAUAUAAUAAUUCUAGGCUAAUUUUAUAAAUUCUAAGUCUUUACAGAUUUAUUUGACUUUGGGAUUAAUUUAUUUAUCAGGAUCUUAUCUAUGCAUUUAUUUCAUUUUUAGUCUCUUUAAAAUCAUAUCAGUGCCCAAGUAACCUAUAAUAGACUAUAAAAGCUGAAUACAAGGGAGUAUACUGGUUAGACAACCAUAUGUCUAUCCUAUAUAUAACUGUCAUGUCAGGCACAAGACCAGCGGGCAGACUAUAAAAGCCAUAAAUGAAAUUAGGCACAAUGGCUAACGGGCAAGCAUAUAGCCUGUAGAAUAAUCAUAUCAGACAUAUUUUGUCAAUUAAUAAUUAUUCAUGUAGGCAGUACUGCUAUCUGUAGCCCCUAAUUGGUAUACCAAUCGAUACAAACUAUAUACAUAAUCCUAGAUUUACUUUGGGCAAUUAAGCAUUAUCAAUUACUUAUUAGAAAUUUUAUGUCACUUUGUAGUGGGAAAGUGGGUCCCACAUACCUAUUUCAUGUAAUUCAGUCUUUAGUAACAUGUUAGGGUUAAAACCCUACUAUAAAAUAGCUUGUUUUGUGAACCUUUCUUUAGGUUUAGCUUUAGUCUUUUAACUUUACCUAUCAAUUUGAUCACCUUGUGGCUACUGUUUGGCCGUACUUCCUUCAUGGAAGUUGUUUCUCAAUGUCUUCUCUUUAUUUUCCUUUUUUGAAUCAUGUCAUUUGGAUUUCUAGAACUCAAAUUAUGGUCAAUUAACCAUAACUAGUUCAUUUUCUAAUUUUGGCUCUUUAGGCAAAUUUUGGAAUUACACUUUACCAAUUUAAUUGGACAUAUUAUAGUCACUUUUAGGCUUAGUGUUCUUCAUAGAGUUUGUUGCCCUAUGUCUUAUGGUCACUUAGAAUUUUGGAUUGCAAUUUUUCAAGUUUUGUAUAAUUACUUAUAGUCGAAUCAUUGGCCUGGACUCAAGUACUCUGUGCUAAUAGGAUCCCAGUUCAGGUCAGUGGCUUUGACCCAACUUUUAGGAUUUUUAAAUUUAUAAUUUGAGGAAAGUGUCUAAAACAAAGUUGGAGCUCUAUUUCUUAGGUUUCCAGAACAAUAUGGCUCAUCCCAAUUGGAGUGUCCUAGUGAGAGAUAUGACUAAAAGACUGUCCUGGAGUUAAAUAGUCACUUAAGCAAUUUUCAGAAUUUGUAUACUAACUUGAUUUAGCCAAUUGACCUAAUUCCCUUGAUUUUUGGGUUUUGGUCAAAAUACCAAUAUUGUAGAUUGAUGUCUUGUGGAAAAUUUUCUACUGGUUUAUUGCAUUUGGAUUUCUGUAGAUCAAGUUAUGGCCUCUUUGCAAAAACUGGUCAAGUAAGUCUAUUUCUAGCAAUUUAUGGACAAUAUGGUUUUGGGCAGUUUUGUUAUCUAAUUUGGGCCAACAAUUUGGAUUGGUUUAAGGCAUUUCUGGGCUCUGUGGUCUUCAUGAAAGUUAUAGUCCUAUAUUUAAACUUUCCAAUGGUAUAAAAUUUAGGUCAUUUGGACCUGUUUAGAGAGAGUUAUGGCCAAAUGAAUGUGUACUGUUCAUUUGGUCAAUUUUCUGGGUUCAUCAUUUAGUCAUUUGGAUUGGGACAACAAUUUGGUCAAUUUAUAGGCAAAAUUUGGGCAUGGUCUCUUCAUGAAAAAUGAAGCAUUUUAGGUUUAGUUUCAUCUCCAAUUAGCCUCAUACCAAUUGGAGCAACACAAUUUUGGUUAUGGCUCAAAACAUAUACUGGAUUCAACAAUUCUCAACCUGCAAAGAAAUUUACACUUCCAAUUUCAUUUCCUCUAACUCCCAAACUACAAAUCAACAUUCAUGGCACUUCUAACAUCGUCAAUUCAUCUCAACACAAUCAAAUUCCAGCAACAACACAAGUCUCCAACAAUUAGGUCAAAAUUCUAACUCCAAUUUGUCAUUUACAAUAUACACAUACAAUUACAUUUCUAACAUAUACAACUUCAUCUAUUUAGCCAUUAACAACACUAAACACCAUUUACAUGUAUGAAAACAUUAAACUCUCAUGUUUUCAAAGGCUGCCGAAUUCUAGGGUUUACAAUUACUCAUCAUUUUCUUCAAAUUUCUCAUCAUACCAACUCAAUUCAACCUCAAUUCAAGAUGUACCUAAGGAAGGAAAAGAAAACAUGCACUAACCUCAACUUGUGAGAAUUCUUGUCUUGCCAAACUUCAAUUCUACCUCUUCUAAUUACUAUCACUAGUUUCCUUGGGAUGUGGGGACUAAUUUUUGUGAAGGAACUUGUGAGGAUCAUGUUGAGAAUGGAAGGAAUUGAAACUUGCAUGAAGAGAAAUCAUGAAAGAAAAGAAAGAACAAGGCUCGGCCAUGGGUGAGAUAAAAUGAAGAAGAUGAAAUUAGUGGAUGGAUUUGUCUUCUUAUGCCUAUUUAUACCCCACUAAUAAUUUAACUAUUAAUUAUAAUAAUUAAACUUUUAAUAUUUCAAAUAAUUCCCUUUUAUAUUCCUUUAAUUAUUUUUACAUAUAGUUUCAUAUUUUCAUGGAAUUUUCAAAAUUUUUAAUAUCACUCAUUCUAAUGGACAUUUAGGUCAAAAGUCGACUCUAGGUACCAAAUGACCAAAAUGCCCCUCUUCGGGUUACAGUCAAAUUUUUUCGGUAAUACCGAUUAAAUCCCUAAUCCGACGGUUCUUUUAAUUUUAUAUUGUCUAUUUCAUUUUUAUUUUUACCUGUACCAAUUAACUAAAUUUUUUUUUUGACAUUUUCAAUGUUAUUUAUACCUCAGUAGACUUUUAAUUACAUCCCGGAAAUUAUUUUCUAUGGUUCCUCGCGGGUUUGGGGUUGUCAACUGUCUACGCAGUAACUUUUCAGUACGGUCACUCAUCGCCGUGGUUCCGGCUUUUUUUAAUCUAGUUAUAUUUCAUUUCUUUUAUUUUUCCUUAAUUUUUCUUGGUCUUUAUUUCAUCAAUUUAUGUCUACUCACCCUAGUUUAAGUGUAAUUCCAGACAUUCUGACUGUUCGAACAGACGUUAGUCGUCGGAACAGUAGAACGUACGGAUUACCUACGGAGAGAGUGUUACAAGAAAGAAAAAAAUUCAUUGAAAAGUUCAGUUGAAUUUUAACUAGGGACCCAGAAAAAAGUUUGCUACGCAUCACGAGUCUAAUGUAUUUUGGCAAUUUAUUUUAGCUUGGUGCUGUUGAGUUCCUUCGGAAACCUCUCUCUGAAGACAAACUGAGGAAUAUAUGGCAGCAUGUGGUUCAUAAGGCAUUUAAUGCAGGGGAAAGUGUCCUCUCUGAAUCACUAAAGCCUGUCAAAGAUUCUGUAG
This 4206-nucleotide unclassified non-coding RNA is filed under the name Hevea brasiliensis (rubber tree). The record is from RNAcentral. Lineage: Eukaryota; Viridiplantae; Streptophyta; Magnoliopsida; Malpighiales; Euphorbiaceae.